CAAUAUUUUUAUAGACAUAUGCAUCGACAACCGCCCUUUUAAAGUUUUUAUAAAUAGAAAGGAAGAGGGGGUUUGAGAUCUCAAAUGUGGUGAUGUUGGAGAGACCAAUAGAUUGGGAAGAUGUUGCAUAUGAGCAUGGAGUAAACGAAGUGGCUAUGAUAUAAAUUCCAUGCUCAUUAAUGUUUGGAGUGAAAUCCAUGUGGUAUGGUGAAAAUGGUAAGGUGAGUGUGGUAAAAAAAGAAAAGAAAAAGGAUACACGGACGACUUGGUUCGAAACUAGCACAACUACCGUUCCCUGGCAACAGCGCCAGAAAGCUUGUUGGGUAUUUUAAACACAAACAAAAAAAAUCCAUAAGCACACGGAUAUCGAUGUAGCUUUCACCCGGGAGUAUUCCAGAGUAUCGAUUUUCCACAGGGAAUGUGAGUGUACUAAUUAAGAUUCAAGAUCGCCCA
This 453-nucleotide long non-coding RNA is filed under the name Sorghum bicolor (sorghum). RNAcentral describes it as "long non-coding RNA (SBIC_LNC012018)". Lineage: Eukaryota; Viridiplantae; Streptophyta; Magnoliopsida; Poales; Poaceae. The record is from RNAcentral.